This is an RNA transcript of Amborella trichopoda, 1354 nucleotides long. It is a transcript of the gene named vacuolar protein sorting-associated protein 20 homolog 1, with no coding region annotated. The record is from RefSeq and is a predicted model, not a curated record. NCBI's taxonomy places the organism in Eukaryota, Viridiplantae, Streptophyta, Magnoliopsida, Amborellales, Amborellaceae.
ACCCCUUCCUGAGACGCUCUUCACCAUUCCUCCCGCGAAUUCAAGGAGGAGAAAAAUAACAGAGAGUUAGAAACUGCAAUUAGGGUUUUUCUCUCAACAAAUAUUGGGGUUUUUCUCGUUCUUCUUUGGGAACCCCGCGUGUGCAUUUGCGUGCGGUCUGUUUAGGGAAUUCAUGGACAAACCCUAAUAUUUUUUUAUGGUUGGUUCAUGAUCUUCCAGAGAGAGAGAGAGGAGGGGAUUUUUUUGGUAGGUUGGGGAGAGGAAAUUUGAUGAAAUGGGAAACAUUUUCACAAAGAAACCCAAAGUGACUGAUGUGGACAGGGCCAUCCUUUCUCUAAAAACACAGCGCAGGAAGCUCGCACAAUAUCAGCAACAGCUCGAUGAUGUGAUUGAAGCUGAAAAGCAAGCUGCCAAGGACUUGAUCCGAGAUAAGAAGAAAGAUAGAGCCCUUCGAGCAUUGAAGAAGAAGAAGGCCCAAGAAGAACUAUUGAAGCAAGUUGAUACCUGGCUUAUUAAUGUUGAGCAACAAUUGGCAGAUAUAGAACUCACUAGUAAGCAGAAGGCUGUGUUCGAGAGCUUGAAGUCCGGAAACAAUGCAAUUAAGGCUAUACAAAGUGAGAUCAAUUUAGAGGAUGUUCAAAAGCUUAUGGAUGAGACAGCUGAGGCAAAGGCUUACCAAGAUGAAAUAGAUGGCAUACUUGCAGAGCGCCUGACAGCAGAGGAUGAAGAAGAUGUUUUGGCAGAAUUUGAGGACUUGGAAACACAGAUCGCGGUGGAAGUAAUGCCAGAAGCCCCUGCACAUGUGCCAUCUCAAAAAGAUGAUGAGGUUAUUGAAAGUAAGAAACCUGUCGAGGAUUUGGGACUUCCUGAUGUGCCAGCCAACCCGGUGACUGCCUCCGCGGCAUCUAAAAAAGUUAUGGAGGAGCCGUUGCCUGCUUAAAUUGUAUAAAGGAAAAAUCGUCAGAAAGUUAGUACACGUUUGAGCUUAUUAGGCAGAUCAUGCAGUGUUACUGAGGACUACUUGUCAUAUUUACAGAGCUGUAGAGCUUCCACAUUUGUUUCUUAUCAGGAUGAAGAAUCAAAGCAAGCUUUUUGUAUUGCUUUCUGACGUGAGAGAGGCUACCCAGUCGGGAUCUCAUCUACGGUUUCACGAGCAACGCAGAGAACUUGGAAGGCAGUCGCCAUUUGAGAGAUACCUUAGAGUUUUUCAUGCUCUUUUGCAUAUUUUAUGGUAGAUUUGAAGUUGAAGAGAAAAUAAUUACCCUGCAUGUUCUUUUAUGCGAAGGGAUCCUAGAACAUGUAUUACUUUCAUGGUGAAAAAGAGUGAAGUAGAAAGAGGAUUUGGGGUUUUCAA